Molecule: long non-coding RNA, 1031 nt
Organism: Mytilus trossulus (common blue mussel)
Lineage: Eukaryota; Metazoa; Mollusca; Bivalvia; Mytilida; Mytilidae
Exons: 4
Source: RefSeq, a predicted model, not a curated record
CAAAUGGCAGACGAGAUGGUCCCGCCGGACAUGAAGGGCAGUAUAAGUCUGUUUUAACCCAUUCAUGUGAGGUUUAAUCCUGUAUGUAAUCAGGAUAAAAGUGUACGAAAGCUCGCUGAAUGAAUUAAGACAUAACGCCGCGGCAUUGACAGAUCUCAGACUGCGUGGAGGUUGCCUGACUACACGAACCAGCCGUGGACAAUGCCAAUGAACAUGAUGAAGGAGAGUUGAUAGCACUAAGAUGUGGUAUUUUCAGCAUAGAAUUUUCACCAAUGUUUUAGAAUCUGUGAAACAGAAUUGGUUUUGUGUGGCUUCACUUCUUCAGAAUUUUAUAAUGACUAAUGACAUGUACCACUGUGGACAUAUCUGGUUAUGCUUACAAGAAAUAAGUAAAAGAACAGGGAUCAAUAUUCAGGGGUAUUGCAAGUCUGAAGCCCAUGCAGUGAUUCAAAGAUGGCAAAUAUGCGCAAAAAGAUGAAAAGUUGGGUUGCAAGUUGGAAAAAACAUUGUAACAGCAGCUGAUAUGAAAACUGCCCUUCACUCUAGAACAGGUUUUGCUGGAUGUCAAGUCUCUGAAUGUGCUAACUACACCUCAUAACACAAACUGAUAACACACAAGUUUAAUGGAAUAAAUGAUUUAAACGAGUUGUGAGUUGAAGAAGAUGUUAUACUACUGAGGAAAGCCUACAACGUUGGCAAAGUAAAAUUUAUUCCUUAUAAAUCCAUAGACCAAAUGGAUUUUGGUAACCGACAGGAAAAUAAAACAGAAAAAUGUGUGUUAAUAUCAGGAUUUUAUUUACCUGUUAAUGUAACUGGAAAAAUCAAAACACCUAAAACAGAUGGUGCAGUUAAUCUCCAUGAAGGACCAGAAAUAAAAACAGAAAAUGGUGAAGACUCAACCAUAUUAUCCUCUCAUCACUCAGAAAGUUCUGAUUAAAUGCUGUUCUUUUGCUCAAAAGUUGGCUGUGUCAUUAGAUUUGCUACCUUAAAUAGACUUGAAAACCAUCUAUUGAUAGCUAUAUAUAUAUAUA